RNAcentral lists this long non-coding RNA (1135 nucleotides) under Triticum aestivum (bread wheat). RNAcentral's name for it is "long non-coding RNA (TAES_LNC007996)". The record is from RNAcentral. Lineage: Eukaryota; Viridiplantae; Streptophyta; Magnoliopsida; Poales; Poaceae.
AAAAGAUCAAAAAUAACAAGCUCCAAUGAGGUACUCCUUGCUGGGUGCUUCUUCAUCAUGGGACUUGCUGGGUGCUUCGACACUUGAACAAAGGACAUCUACAGCUUAUAAAUAGAACAAUUAGGAACAAAAUAAAAACAGAACAUUCUGCAUCUCGUGCAAAAAUGGUUAGAGCAAAGAGGAGCUUCAGCAAUAGAGCAAAUAUUUGUAGAUGGAUAUUUUUGUUUGACUCAUUUACUACUACUCCCUUUAAUUUUCAAGACUACAUAUUCUGAAUCUACUAGUAGUGGUGGUGCUCAAUUUCCAGUUUAGGUCAAUGGUAGAUGUAGGUAGGUAAUUAAAUGUAGAAAAUUAGCUAGCCUACUCUCGUGGAAGUUUUCAAAAGACCACAGUGAUCACGCAAGGACUCUUGCCAGCAUGAACCAUGAAAGCUGUUGAAAAUAGAACAGUUCACAGGAGAGCAAGAAAAUUCUAAUGUAGCACAUAGGACCACACCUAGAAAGCCUAAUACACACACGUAUGCUACUUCCAAGGUAGAAACGACAAUCUAGCUUACAUGCUGCCUACAUUGUGUCUUAUAUCACGGUCUAAAUGAAACACACGAACAUGGUUACAUGUAUGAGUAGAGAGGGGAGACGGUUCAGCUGUACCAGAAGGGGCCCAGUGUCGGUGCAUGCGUCGCAAACAUGGCAGGGUCCUGUACAUGAUGAUGCAAACAAAGUCCUGCCAAUUUAUGGCGUAAUUACACAAGUCAACAACUGAAUCCCCAACUGUAUUUGCAUAUACUGCAGCAAACUAGAUUGACAUUAUUUUUUCUUUUUCGUUGAGGUUGUGAUUCAGUUAGGAAUCCAUGGGUGGCAGGAAUGCAAAGUGCAGGUAGCAGUAGUGUACAACUAGCUAGAAUAGGACUAGAAGGAGCAAAACCAAACCUUUUUCUGCUGGAUUUUGAGGCGUUGGAGGUGCAUCUCAGAUUCUCCUGCAGAAUAGCAGUGAGGAGGCUUCACCAAUAGAGCAAAACCAAGGACAGAACUUGCUUCUCCAGAUUAACAUUGGCCUUCACCACACACUCAUACUUGUCCUGCAAAUAAUGCCAUCAUGAGUUCAACAUCAGCUAUCCACCUGCCUUUCAAAUUAG